GGAAGAACUCUGUCGUUAAAAUGACAACCCUUUAUUAUUCACGAAAUAACCCGACUCUGAGGUAAACGGUGCCUGCUGGGGAAAGAAUUAUUCUAUCUCGCAAACCCCUAGCCUUCCACUGGCCCUCCUCCUCAACACUGACUAGCCUGCUUGCAGGGAGGGCAGCCUGCUUGCUAUCCCGUGGCCCCCUACCUGCCCUUGUCCUAUUCUCCCCUUUCAACUGCUGGUCCAGACCACAGCAUGUAGCCUGCCAUUUUCAAAACAGUCCGAAGCCACUACAGAGUCCUGUGGCCUCUGUAGCAGGAGGCUUGAUACCUAAGAGGUCUGCAUGCCUAUCGGCUUUGGAUUUUCAGGGGCUCUUUAUAUUCACAUCCUAACACAGCCGGCCAUGUCCCUCCUUUGGCGCAGGUGUGGCCAAUAUAAAGGAGAAAAAUGUGUCAUUGCUGCGUUCAUCCCCCAGGGAGUUAAUGGCGGUUUGUUCACGCCACCUAGAAAUAACUAUUCAUCUCACUUUAAAAAAAAAAAAAAAAA
RNAcentral lists this long non-coding RNA (531 nucleotides) under Rattus norvegicus (Norway rat). RNAcentral describes it as "long non-coding RNA NONRATT016020". Lineage: Eukaryota; Metazoa; Chordata; Mammalia; Rodentia; Muridae. The record is from RNAcentral.